Mercenaria mercenaria is the source of this 622-nucleotide long non-coding RNA. RefSeq lists it as uncharacterized. The transcript is spliced from 2 exons. The record is from RefSeq and is a predicted model, not a curated record. Lineage: Eukaryota; Metazoa; Mollusca; Bivalvia; Venerida; Veneridae.
UAUUUCUAUUGAUUCUCGAAAUAAGUCGUGUGUAUACCCUUAUUCUGGAUGAACAGACGGACCCUAGUGUUUUACAGCUGUGAAGUUAGAAGCUGAUGUGAACACCAAUAAAGCUCGUCUCAAAGAACUGGAGGAAUCUUGUUCAUGUUCAGGGUCUACACAAAAUCAAAACCCAGCUUUUAUGACAACGUUAGGUCAGUCAGUCAGUGGAUGUACAGCUAACCAGCCACUAAUCUUCGACAUGGUCAAACUUAACCAAGGCUCUGGUUAUGAUUACAGGCACGGGACAUUUCGUGCACCGGCGAACGGAACUUACCAGAUAAGCGCAACAUUAUCUUCUUCGCCUAACAACCAAGGUUUCCAUAGUGCGUUUGUGAAAAAUCUAGCCAGCAACCAUGUCGGGUAUUUAUAUGCUGACGGAGGUAAGGAUCACUGGCAAGAGAGAAGUACCUCGCUGGUAAUGCAUCUGAACGCCGGCGACGAUGUUUGGUUGUCGUGUUUAGGUGAUAGUACAAUCAAGGGAGACCAUAUUGGGAAGGCAAAUGACUAUCAUUCUCACUUUUCUGGUUUUCUUAUAACGAAGGAUUGAACAGUAUAUUUAAAUUAAAAAAAAAAAACAACA